AUGGAUGGUGUGCCCGCAGAGCUGUUGGCUGAAAAUCUUCAGAAAGCAGCUAGAACCAUCCUUGUUUCCACAGGACCUUUAACCCACAGUGAAGGAUUCUGUACAGAAUAUGGCACUUAUAGCUGCCACUGCUGCCAUCAGAAGUGCUUAUUUUGCCAAUGGAAUUUAAAUGACAUCUGGAUGUGAGCCUUGCCUCAACACUGCAGCCUGGAAAUGGCAGAAUCCCUAGCAUGAAAAAGCUUGGAUAGCAAGUGCUACAGUGAGACAAGGAGACUGCGUAGGA
Molecule: long non-coding RNA, 283 nt
Filed under: Phasianus colchicus (ring-necked pheasant)
Lineage: Eukaryota; Metazoa; Chordata; Aves; Galliformes; Phasianidae
Description: lncRNA (ENSPCLG00000022127.1)
Source: RNAcentral